AGUGAACGCUGGCGGUAGGCCUAACACAUGCAAGUCGAACGGCAGCACAGUAAUAGCUUGCUCUUACGGGUGGCGAGUGGCGGACGAGUGAGUAAUACAUCGGCAUCUACCCCUUCGCGGGGGAUAACGUAGGGAAACUUACGCCAAUACCGCAUACGACCUCCGUGUGAAAGCAGGGGAUCUUCGGACCUUGCGCGGUUGAAUGAGCCGAUGUCGGAUUAGAUAGUUGGCGGGGUAAAGGCCCACCAAGGCGACGAUCCGUAGCUGGUCUGAGAGGAGGGUAAGCCACACUGGACCGGAGACACGGUCCAGACUCCUACGGGAGGCGGCAGUGGGGAAUAUUGGACAAGGGGAGCAAGCUUGAUCCAGCCAAACCGAGUGGGUGAAGAAGGCAUUCGGGUUGGAAAGCCAUUUUGUUGGGAUAGAAAAGCAGCAGGUUAAUACCCCGCUGUUCUGACGGUACCCAAUGAAUAAGCACCGGCUAACUUCGUG
This 492-nucleotide ribosomal RNA is filed under the name uncultured bacterium. RNAcentral describes it as "partial 16S ribosomal RNA". It matches the Rfam family "Bacterial small subunit ribosomal RNA", at positions 29 to 507 of the family's 1533-position model. The record is from RNAcentral.